AGAGUUUGAUCCUGGCUCAGAAUCAACGCUGGCGGCGUGCCUAACACAUGCAAGUCGAACGAGAAAGUGGAGCAAUCCAUGAGUAAAGUGGCGACCGGGUGAGUAACACGUGACUAACCUACCUCCGAGUGGGGAAUAACUCCGGGAAACCGGGGCUAAUACCGCAUAACAUCGCAAGAUCAAAGCAGCAAUGCGCUUGGAGAGGGGGUCGCGGCUGAUUAGCUAGUUGGCGGGGUAACGGCCCACCAAGGCGAAGAUCGGUAUCCGGCCUGAGAGGGCGCACGGACACACUGGAACUGAAACACGGUCCAGACUCCUACGGGAGGCAGCAGUGGGGAAUUUUGCGCAAUGGGGGAAACCCUGACGCAGCAACGCCGCGUGGAGGAUGAAGUCCCUUGGGACGUAAACUCCUUUCGACCAAGACGAUAAUGACGGUACCGGAAGAAGAAGCCCCGGCUAACUUCGUGCCAGCAGCCGCGGUAAUACGAGGGGGGCAAGCGUUGUUCGGAAUUAUUGGGCGUAAAGGGCGCGUAGGCGGUUUGACAAGUCUGAUGUGAAAUCUAUGGGCUCAACCCAUAGCCUGCAUUAGAAACUGUCGGGCUUGAGUAUGGGAGAGGUGAGUGGAAUUUCCGGUGUAGCGGCGAAAUGCGUAGAUAUCGGAAGGAACACCUGUGGCGAAAGCGGCUCACUGGACCAUAACUGACGCUGAGGCGCGAAAGCUAGGGGAGCAAACAGGAUUAGAUACCCUAGUAGUCC
RNAcentral lists this ribosomal RNA (756 nucleotides) under uncultured bacterium. Its description in RNAcentral is "bacterial SSU rRNA". It matches the Rfam family "Bacterial small subunit ribosomal RNA", at positions 8 to 796 of the family's 1533-position model. The record is from RNAcentral.